GUCUCUUGCGUCGCGACGCUCUUACGCUGCUGACAUCUCGGACUCCGUCACUUCACUUCACUUCAUCGCUACGGAAUAAAACGGAUACUGACUUGACCCGAUAUCUUUUUCCAGAAGUGCUCUGGACCAAAGACAUGGCUUCGUUAUCGUUCCUUGUUAUUCCGCCGAAACGUCCGAUACGGGAGCGGCCAUAAACUUUCGGAUAGCAGCUUUUUCCGGCAAGAUUAAUCGCACGACGUGCAUCAUGAUUCCUCGUACGACGCCAUCUGACGUUCAGUGAAAUUAACGAUUGUGAUUUACGAUUAAACUAUAAAACACCGAAGCCUCCAGGCGAGAGAGGGCACCACUGUUCUCUGACGGGAGACUAGCCGAUCGGUCGCUUGAACGUUACGUACAUCUACUAUGGCUUUAUACUGCCCCUCUAUAUGUAUACAGUGUUCAACAGUUCUCUGUAGUGCAGUACACGAAGGGUCGUGCAAAGAGUGAGAAAGAGAAAGAGUAAAAAUAAGAGAAAUGACAGAGAGAGAAAGAGAGAGAAAGAAAUAACAGCAGCACGCCAUCGCGUAUCCGCACUGAUGACUGUAUCGUGUAUAUGCCGUUGUUACUGCUGCUGCUGCUACAAGCCGUCAUAAAUCAGCGUAAUUAAAAUGCCUGCUGGGGAAUAAAUGAUUGCGCGACAAACUCGCCAGGGUAAGGGAGAUGCAUAGGGGACACACGUGCAGGCAGACGUGAGAGUGGGUUCAAAUCAAAGUCACUUGGCCGAUUGAACGUUAAUCCAUUCAGACUAACGAAGGAUCCUUCAGUGACACCCUCAUCCAGUACCAACCUAACCUAAAUGCUAUAGCAGUAACAGUAGACUAUGGAUAUUCGUUUCCACCAGAGACGACACGAAUACGGCGAAGAUCGCGCGACGUUUCAAUAAAUUCGUGGUGGAAGUCGUGAGCUCAGGGUGGCUCCCGUUCUGGGAGUUGGCGAUGCCAGGAGCAAAGUAUCGCAUAGCCGGGAGGUCUCGGCUGGACAACCGUGUGCCGGUUGUCGGGCAUUCCGUUGUUUGUUUCUUUCUCAAUAUUACCAUAACUCCGUCGCAUAAAUACCGAAACGGCGGCAUUCCUGAGCACUGGCGUGAGUUAUAGUCCUGGUGCGACUAGUCCUCCACAAGGCGGCAGCACGAUCGUCCAAGAGUCCCAACCGCUUCUGUGAAAUCCACCAGUCGAUUCUACGUUCCCUAUAACCCUCUCCGCCCCUCUCUCAAAUCUCUCUAACCGAAUACUCUUCUUCAGGUACUAUAAAACAAAAGAAUACCGAACAUCGGGUACUGUCCCAAAAUCAUCAUCCACUAGUACGAGGUCCAGCCAAGGACAAAAAGUUCCAUUCCAUUUAUCCCAGCAUCUCUGACUGGUCCACCUACACGAUCCACCCAGAAGAGGUCAGGGACCUUUAACCCUGUCAUUCCUGACUCCGGCAUACGCAACUAUUGUCCAGCACUCAGAAACAAAAGCUUUCCUACGAGAGAGGGUAUCUCAUACGUCCUGGUGCACGCACGUUCGUGCGACCUGAUCAAACAAGCGCUAAUUACUGUCGCUUCACAGUUCACAGAGUGCAGUGAGAAAUCAUUGGCGUGGAUGGACGGGCCCAAGGAGUCUGACGAGUUCAGACGAUGAUUCCUGCAUUACGACGUACGUGAGUACACAUGCGACCACGUGCGAGUGCGUGUGCCUAUAUCGUCUUCUAAAAAGUUAGCAAGAGGGGUCUCGCCUUUUCCUUCCAAGAAGGAAGGAUCGCGUGUGCGAUCCCACGUUGAAGGCUGCAGCUGUUCUCCCGUUAAUCGCAGCUCGCCAUCUUAGGGAAUUAAUGGCAGUUCUGAAUGAAAAAAUACGAGGAUGACGCCAAAGACGGCUUGAAGUCUGUACGGUCUUAUGGUGAUUGUAUACUUAUAUAUACAAUGCGCAAUCAAUAAAAUUACUAAUCAUCACUGUUCCAGACGAUUAUCACGUAACUGUCGAUUGACUUUAAAUAAAUUGCAUAAAUUACAAUAAUUUGCAAAUCGUCAUCCGACGAAUUGCUUUCCCCAGAUCUUGUACGAAUAUAAUGACGUUCCUGACA
This is a long non-coding RNA of Cephus cinctus (wheat stem sawfly), 2103 nucleotides long. RefSeq lists it as uncharacterized. The transcript is spliced from 6 exons. Lineage: Eukaryota; Metazoa; Arthropoda; Insecta; Hymenoptera; Cephidae. The record is from RefSeq and is a predicted model, not a curated record.